UGCCAGCCGCCGCGGUAAUACAGGGGGUGCGAGCGUUAAUCGAAAUUACUGGGCGUAAAGCGUGCGCAGGCGGUUUGGUAAGUCAGAUGUGAAAUUCACCGGCUCAACCGGUCGAACUGCAUCCGAUACUGCCAGACUUGAGAUCAGUAGAGGAGAGUGGAAUUCCCAGUGUAGCGGUGGAAUGCGUAGAUAUUGGGAAGAACACCGGUGGCGAAGGCGGCUCUCUGGACUGAUUCUGACGCUGAGGCGCGAAAGCUAGGGGAGCGAACAGGAUUAGAUA
RNAcentral lists this ribosomal RNA (280 nucleotides) under uncultured bacterium. Its description in RNAcentral is "partial 16S ribosomal RNA". It matches the Rfam family "Bacterial small subunit ribosomal RNA", at positions 506 to 784 of the family's 1533-position model. The record is from RNAcentral.